AUCGACAAAUAGAACCUGAAUUCACAUAUUUUAAAGGGUUUUCAUUUUUGUUAGUGAACCUUUUACAAUGUGUGAAUUUUUUCUCUUUGAAGAAUAAAAAACAUGUUAAUAAUUUUUGGAGGUAUUUCACAAUGGCUACUGGUACAGUAAAAUGGUUUAACGCAGAAAAAGGUUUCGGUUUCAUCGAAGUUGAAGGCGGCAACGAUGUAUUCGUUCACUUCUCCGCAAUCCAAGGCGACGGCUUCAAAACUUUGGACGAAGGUCAAGCAGUUGAAUUCAGCGUAGUUCAAGGCAACCGCGGUCCACAAGCUGAGAACGUUGUAAAACUGUAAUAUAAUUAAAAAGACUGCCUUUACGUAAGUAAUGGCAGUCUUU
Paenibacillus pectinilyticus is the source of this 375-nucleotide regulatory RNA element. It matches the Rfam family "cspA thermoregulator". NCBI's taxonomy places the organism in Bacteria, Bacillati, Bacillota, Bacilli, Caryophanales, Paenibacillaceae. The record is from Rfam.